This 424-nucleotide ribosomal RNA is filed under the name uncultured bacterium. RNAcentral describes it as "partial 16S ribosomal RNA". It matches the Rfam family "Bacterial small subunit ribosomal RNA", at positions 360 to 776 of the family's 1533-position model. The record is from RNAcentral.
AAUAUUGGACAGUGGGCGAAAGCCUGAUCCAGCCAUGCCGCGUGAGUGAAGAAGGAUUUCGGUUCGUAAAACUCUGUUGUAAGGGAAGAACAAGUACAGUAGUAACUGGCUGUACCUUGACGGUACCUGAUUAGACAGCCACGGCUAACUACGUGCCAGCAGCCGCGGUAAUACGUAGGUGGCAAGCGUUGUCCGGAAUUAUUGGGCGUAAAGCGCGCGCAGGUGGUUUCUUAAGUCUGAUGUGAAAGCCCACGGCUCAACCGUGGAGGGUCAUUGGAAACUGGGAGACUUGAGUGCAGAAGAGGAUAGUGGAAUUCCAAGUGUAGCGGUGAAAUGCGUAGAGAUUUGGAGGAACACCAGUGGCGAAGGCGACUAUCUGGUCUGUAACUGUCACUGAGGCGCGAAAGCGUGGGGAGCAAACAGG